Long non-coding RNA from Mastomys coucha (southern multimammate mouse), 1738 nucleotides. RefSeq lists it as uncharacterized. The record is from RefSeq and is a predicted model, not a curated record. The transcript has 5 exons. NCBI's taxonomy places the organism in Eukaryota, Metazoa, Chordata, Mammalia, Rodentia, Muridae.
CCCCAGGUAUGUACCCCACCCUCUGACAAUACCUGCUGAGCCUAGCUUCAUACAUACGGCUUCAUAUUGAGUGAAGCCUCCAGAUAAUUUUAACGCCAGCCACCCUACCGUGUUAGUCUCUCCAGCUGAAGCUCCUGGUUUGCAGGACAGAGACCAGUCCUCAUGCCUGAGUCCUUGAAUACAGUUCCAUUGUGUAGAUGUCUCCCUUUGCUUUACCCACUCAUCUGCUGAUGGGCGUGGGAGCUGGCUGCAUUUCCUUGCUAUUGUGACUAGUAGAGCAGCAAUCAUGGAUGUGCAAGCAUCAUUCAUAUACACUGACUUAGAGUCCUUCAGAUAGGCAAUGUGCCCAUCACAGACGUCUGCAAAGAGAGGAGUGGAUGGAGAAAAUGCGAGUUAUACGAAUGGAAUCUUAUUAUGCAAUAAAAAAGGAAACAGUGACAUUUAUAAGAAAUUCGUUGCAAGUAGAAACCAUGUUAAGUGCAACAAGCUGGACUCAGACAGGCAUAUCACAAUAUCUCUGUGUGUUCAUGUAACUGUAAGCUGUGAAACUUGGCAGGAUUGUGAGAAGGAAGAGAUCUUAGAGGUGGGGAAGAGAAGAACCACCAACUGGGUAUCUUUAGGGUGCCCUUGGCAUUGACUGCCUUGUGCUUGGCGCCCCCUGGUGGAAAAUGAAAGGGCCGUCAUCAUAGUCCUAUAUCACCAUUGUCCUAAGCCAUGGCUGAUGCUUUUACAAGAUGUGUCUUCGUCAAGAUUACCACAUUCAUAUUAAAUGAAGGCCUACAUAUCAAUCAGACCAUAAUUUCUGAGAGACUUUCAUUCAGCAAUACUUCAGUUGAGUCAUGAGUCAAGCAAAAGUAGUGAGAGAUAGUUAAUAGACUUCCAUGUCAUCAGGAGGUGUCUCUUCCAAGUUCUGUGAGAUCCUACUGUAUACUGUAUACAGAACACGCUUCCUUGAAGAUAGCUCAUGGCUGCUCUCUUGUUCUGAAGAUAUGUCCAUCAGAUACUGGGAUCCUGGGAGCUUCACCAACACUGUGCUGUAUCAGGGACAUGCCUGCCCUGUGUGAGACGUGGACAUCAGCCCUUACAGCCUGUACUUUGCCAGUGGGUCCCAUGACUGUACUGCCAGGCUGUGGUCUUUUGAUUGGACUUAUCCGCUGAGGAUAUAUGCAGGACACCUGGCAGAUGUGGACUGUGUCAAAUUCCGCCCCAACUCAAACUACUUAGCUACAGGUUCCAUUGACAAAACUGUUUGGCUAUGGAGUGCCCAGCAGGGGAACUCGGUGUGGCUCUUUACAGGUCACCAGGGCCCUGUGCUCUCCCACUCCUUUUCUCCCAAUGGUAAGUACUUGGCAUCUGCUGGUGAGAACCAGCGGUUAAAGUUGUGGGAUUUGGCCUCUGGGACACUUUUUAAAGAACUGAGAGGCCACAUGAACAGCAUCACCAGUCUGGCCUUUAGCCUGGACAGUGUCUGAUUGCUUCUGCCUCCAUGGACAACUCUGUGCGUGUCUGGAACAUCAGAAGCAUGUGCUGCGACACAACUGCUGACAGCUCUUCGGUGACCUGCUUCCACCUCACUGCAGUGUCGGUAGUGAACAGAGAAUGAAUCAUGAGUGCGCACUCGCAAGUAUCGACCAUGCUCUAAGCACAAAGCAAGUUCUGAUGUCUGCUAAAGAAUUAAAUGUUUCUGUUUCUGAAAAAGUUAUUUUGUAUUUUGUUUUCUAUUAAAAUGUAUUUAGUU